AAUGAACGCUGGCGGCGUGCCUAAUACAUGCAAGUCGAACGCUUCACUUCGGUGAAGAGUGGCGAACGGGUGAGUAAUACAUAAGUAACCUGGCAUCUACAGGGGGAUAACUGAUGGAAACGUCAGCUAAGACCGCAUAGGUGUAGAGAUCGCAUGAACUCUAUAUGAAAAGUGCUACGGGACUGGUAGAUGAUGGACUUAUGGCGCAGUAGCUGGUUGGUAGGGUAACGGCCUACCAAGGCGACGAUGCGUAGCCGACCUGAGAGGGUGACCGGCCACACUGGGACUGAGACACGGCCCAGACUCCUACGGGAGGCAGCAGUAGGGAAUUUUCGGCAAUGGGGGAAACCCUGACCGAGCAACGCCGCGUGAAGGAAGAAGUAAUUCGUUAUGUAAACUUCUGUCAUAGAGGAAGAACGGUGGAUAUAGGGAAUGAUAUCCAAGUGACGGUACUCUAUAAGAAAGCCACGGCUAACUACGUGCCAGCCGCCGCGGUAA
This 498-nucleotide ribosomal RNA is filed under the name uncultured bacterium. RNAcentral describes it as "partial 16S ribosomal RNA". It matches the Rfam family "Bacterial small subunit ribosomal RNA", at positions 29 to 523 of the family's 1533-position model. The record is from RNAcentral.